This 460-nucleotide ribosomal RNA is filed under the name uncultured bacterium. RNAcentral's name for it is "partial 16S ribosomal RNA". It matches the Rfam family "Bacterial small subunit ribosomal RNA", at positions 338 to 795 of the family's 1533-position model. The record is from RNAcentral.
CCUACGGGUGGCAGCAGUGAGGAAUAUUGGUCAAUGGGCUUACGCCUGAACCAGCCAAGUCGCGUGAGGGAAGACUGCCCUAUGGGUUGUAAACCUCUUUUGUCAGGGAGCAACGCCGGCUACGUGUAGCCGGACUGAGAGUACCUGAAGAAAAAGCAUCGGCUACCUCCGUGCCAGCAGCCGCGGUAAUACGGGGGAUGCGAGCUUUAUCCGGAUUUAUUGGGUUUAAGGGGUGCGUGGGGGGAAUGCAAAGUCAGCGGUAAAAUCGCGGGGCUCAACCUCGCUCCGCCGUUGAAACUGGCGGUCUUGAGUGGGCGAGAGGUAUGCGGAAUGCGUGGUGUAGCGGUGAAAUGCAUAGAUAUCACGCAGAACUCCGAUUGCGAAGGCAGCAUACCGGCGUCCAACUGACGCUGAAGCACGAAAGCGUGGGUAUCGAACAGGAUUAGAUACCCGAGUAGUC